ACGUUAAAUUGAAGGCUGUGCCCACAGACGCGGCACCGGGUUGGCCUCCAUCCCAAUUCUGGUGCGAGUCACGGGUUUGAGCAGGUCUGGGUCCCCAGGGGAUGGAUCGCGUGUGGAGUGCGUGGUACGGAAAGUGCGUCAAAGAGAAAGGGUCGUCGCCAGUAUGGGCCCAGAGCAUCGUGGUUUCCUGGCUCAGCAGGGCCGAGUGGGACCAGGUGACGGUCUAUCUGUUUUGUGAUGACCAUAAGUUGCAGCGGUACGCGCUGAACCGCAUCACGGUGUGGAGAAGCAGGUUAGGCAACGAGCUCCCCCUGGCAGUGGCUUCUACUGCUGACCUGAUACGCUGUAAGCUCAUGGAUGUAACUGGUGGCUUGGGCACUGAUGAACUUAGACUGCUCUAUGGCAUGGCAUUAGUCAGGUUUGUGAAUCUUAUCUCGGAGAGGAAGACAAGGUUUUCCAAGCUCCCCCUCAAGUUCCUUGCUCAGGAGGUGAACAUUCCAGAUUGGAUUGUUGAACUUCGCCACAAGUUGACCCACAAGAAAAUGCCCCAUAUAAAUGACUGCCGCAGAGGCUGCUACUUUGUCUUGGAUUGGCUCCAGAAGACCUACUGGUGCCAUCAGCUGGAAAACAGCCUAAGAGACUCCUGGGAAUUGGAGGAAGACAAAGUGGACACAGAAGACCAAGAAGAAGAUAAGAAUACUGUUGAUGACAUCAUAGAACAGAAACCAGAGCCUCAGGACGAUGGGAAAGGUGCAGAGUUGGAUAUCAGGGAUGAUGGAGACAGUAAAGGCAGUGAAGAGGUGGAUUCUCAUUGGGAAAAGGCUCUGAAACAUAAGGAGUUGUAUGAAAAAGCCCGAGAACUUUUGGUAUCUUAUGAAGAGGAGCAGUUUAAGGUGCUGGAGAAAUAUAGGUAUUUACCUCAGGCCGUUAAAGUGUGGAAUAACCUCUCCCCACGUGUAGACUGGAUCCUGGCAGAGCUCAAGGGCAUUAUAUGGGAGAACAGGAAUGCUGUGCUGGAUGCGUUUUUGGAUGAUGGCUUCCUCAUUCCCACAUUUGAGCAGUUGGCAGCUUUGCAGAUAGAAUAUAAAGAUGAUCAUACUGAGGUCCAGAAAGGGGAAAGUACUGGCCCAAAGUCACACAAAAACAUGGAUUUGGAUGACGUCUUGGUGCCAAAGCCGUUCUCUCAGUUCUGGCAGCCCCUGCUCAGGGGCCUGCACUCCCAGACCUUCACACAGGCCCUGCUGGAGAGGAUGUUCUCUGAGCUGCCAUCCUUGGGAGACAGUGGGAUCCGGCCCACCUACAUCCUUAGAUGGACCAUUGAACUGAUCGUGGCCAACACCAAGACUGGACGGAAUGCUCGCCAAUUUUCUGCAAGCCAGUAUGAAGCAAGAAGGAGCUGGAGACUUUUCAACUGCUCCACCUCCCUUGACUGGCCCCAGGUGGUUGAGUCCUGCUUGGGCUCACCUUGCUGGGCUAGCCCCCAACUCCUUCAGCUACCUGUCUGUGCUUGAUCACUUCAGUCACUCAUCAGCACCCUCAGAUCUGCUCAUCCUUUGGCUGUGUCUGACUUGCAAACCCCCAAGCUGGGAUUGAUCCUCCCCACUCUGCUUCCCCUGCUCCUCAGCCUGGGUAGCUGAGCUCUGCUGGAGAAAACCACAUAGCCCUGCGGAUUGCUGCCACUGCAGAGCUUCCUCAAGCACAUGGAGGCAUCCAACAGGGCCCCCUCGACCUGAGGUCCAGCCCUCGUGAACUGAUCUGCGGCUGCAGUCAACCUUCUCGCCAGUCUCAGGAUGAGGUGGCCUUAACCUGCCUCAAAGCCUGCUCCUCCACCUGUGCUCUGGAGCCACCUCUGCCAGCAUCACUGGGGCCUCACUCCAGCCUCUCCCUUGCUCUGCUGGCUCUGGCUCUUGCUCUUCAACUUAUGAAUGUGUCUGAGUUUUUCUCAUCUUAAAACAAAACGAAACAAACAAUAAUAACCACAACACAAGCAAAUCUGCUUUGACCUUGAAUCCCUUUGUUGGGUUAUCACCAGCUUAGCACUCCUUCCCCUCCCAUCUCAAAAGAGCAGUCUUCACUCAGUAGUCUCAGUUUCCUCACUACCCUCUUACUCAACCUGCUGCAAUUUGGUGUUCACCCCUAGAACUGCUUUGGUCUAAUUACCAAAUCCAGGGACCCAUUUCAGUCUCUGUGUCUGUAGCAUUAAUGCUGUUUAUCACUCCCUCCUAGAAAAUGCCUGUGCUCAUUGCUAUUUCCUAUGAACUGCCAAGGCCUAAAUCUCCUUAACCCAGCUUUCCCCCCAUAAUUCAGCCUUCUGUACUCAACUGCAUGCCAAACUUCUCCCCUUGGAUGGCCCAUAGGCACCCUAUUGUGACCAAGAGAGAAUUGGUCAUCUUAAUCCCCAUCCCAACCCCAAAGUGAUCUUCCUCCUCCUUUGUUCCCAAUCUCACUUGGUGGUGGUACCAUCUACCCUGUCCUGUUGACUCCUGAGUACUUCCCAAAUCUGAGAUUUUUGUGUUGCUGUGUCUACUCCCAUAGUGUCUCCUUCCCUGUACCAGACUAGGCUUUUCAAGGACAAGGGCUAUGCAUUAAUUAUCUGUGCCUCAGCACACCACACAAAUGUAGGCCUCAGCGAAUGUCAUCAAAGUGAACUGUGCUCUGCUGUCUCCUUGGUAGCAGCACUGUCCUUGGUGGGAGCUGACCCAGUGACUGAGGGAUGAAUGAAGUGGGAGACUGGAUGCCAAAACCCUCUUAGUCCCCUGAUCACCUUUUUCAGUACAAAGUUCUUUCUUGAAUCCUUAUGGCAUUUGGAGCACAGUAGUUUUUAUAGGAUUUUAAAAAAGUGACCUCAUAGACAAUCUCAGCCAAAUCUCCUCUAGGAGAUGAGUGUGAACCAAACAGCCUCACUGCCAGAUGUGUGUGCUCUAGACUAGAACCGACAAAGAUGGGUGGGAAACUGGGAGGAGAGCCAAAAGGGAUUGGCGGAGUCAGGAUGGAGCAUCAAAGAGGCAUUUGAGCAGUUCAAGUAGGGAAAAUAAAGGAAGUUUCAAAGUACAGAAGGAACAUAGUGUAUGUACUGGUGAGAGGGAGUGAAAAGAGCAGCAUGGAGAGGUUUGGAUAGGUGGCCUUCAAGGUACUUUCCAAUCCUAAGCGCCUGCAGAAUGGAAGCUGCUGGUCUUGGAGAAGUCUGGACCACAGAGAUCUUCUCCCAACCCAAGCAUGCCAGAGGGAUGCGACACAUGCCAGCAGUAACAGCGGCUC
Molecule: non-coding RNA, 3258 nt
Organism: Castor canadensis (American beaver)
Lineage: Eukaryota; Metazoa; Chordata; Mammalia; Rodentia; Castoridae
Source: RefSeq, a predicted model, not a curated record